GGGUCAUUUCAAAAUAUUUCAUAUCCCGCCGCUUCACUGCUCUUAUCUCUCUCUCUCUGGCGAUUCAGGAACACCACUUCUCAAACCCUAAUCCUAAUUGCACCACUCAUUUCCGUCACUUUAUUCAUUUCUCUUUAUCUCUCUCUUGAUUUCCUCUGGUUCCAUCAUAUCUUCUUCAAUAUUCAUUUCAUUUAAGGUGGAUUACUGUUAAUAUUUACACAUAUGAUGGUGUGGUGGUGUUUUUGAAGUCGAAUGUUAUUUUAAGGCAGGUCCUUUAGGGUUUGGGUUUGCUACGAAGUCGACUCAGGAGUUUAGAAAGAUGGAGCCAAAUGGGCUUAUGGUUAGUCGCCAAGCAAAACCGGAGAAUAUUUGAGGAAUCAAGGCGAGAUUUCAUCUCGGUACCAGAUCGGUGGACGGUUCAAAGAAUCUAGGGUUUUGAUGUCAGGACCACAAGGUGAAAAACGAUGAUCAAAGUUGAUUUGAGUCCCUUAACGAUUACAGAUCUAUAUUGACCCUCACCCUCACCCUAGGUGAUGCAAGUGUUGUUUAGAUGGUUGGCUGGAAAUCCUUCCCACAAAUGGGAUAUAAUGGCUCAGUAUGGUUAAUAGCAAGUCCUGCUGACCCUUGGUCUGAUGAUUAUGGAUACUCAAAAGAGAGUAUGCAGAAAAUUGGUUCUGGUGAUUGUUCCAGUGUAAAUUACUGAUUGGGUACACAUAUUUCAUCAGCAACUUUUGAUUAAUUAAGUUAAAGAACAUAAAAUUCACAGUGUUUUUUCAAUAGCUUGAAGAUUAUUUUAAGAAAAUUGUUGUAAUUUUUGUUCUAUAAGUUUGACGAGGCCAAACUAUCAACCAGAAGGGCUUAAUGAAGAGUACAAGAUGGACUGAAGCAUGGAUGAGUGAUAACACCUCUCCUUUAUUGGUGGCUUAGUCAUAAGUGGUUGAUCUAUUUAGACCAUGAUUUUGUAAUUUUUUUUUUUGUUAUGAAGGUUAUAUUGAAAUGUUUAGUGCAGAUAGCAAAUGUAGUUGCUUGAGGACUGGAUAUUCAAGAUGUUAUUGCAAUAAAUUACAACUUCUUGUUGAUCAUAUAGGAUAUUGUCCACAUAAUUGGAAGAAUGGGUCGUGCAAGUAAAAAGGGUGUUGCACACGCUUUCUUCAUGAAGGAGAAUAAGGCUAACGCUAGACUAGCGUUUUCUGAAAAUGUUGAAAAUGGAGAAGAAGAAGAUGGGGAUGAUAAACCAAGUGAGUUCGGGUGAAGAGGCUUUGGCAAAGAUCCCACAGUUGAAACUAGCUUUCUGCCAGACAGCAUACUCUUUCAAUGAGAGAGAGGCAGAGGAGCAAAGCUGAGCAUGAAAGGUUGCGGAAACAAUGGCUACGUGAGCAAGAGUGCUAGGAGAGCAUGAAAAGUUAUAUUUGUAGGUUACAUAAAUUAUAGACAAUUGGAGCAAAAACUAAAGGAAAGUCCCAGAGGUUUAGUUUCUGGGCUUAAGGGUCAGAUUAGGUUUCGGACAAGCCAUGUUAACAGCUGUGGUAGGGGUCCUCCUUUGGUGAGACCUAUAGGAGCAACUGCAACACCAUGUUAACAGCUGUGGAUGGAGCUAUCCAAUUGGUUCCGACCGCAGAAGUGUCGUCAAGAUCAUAGGAGUUUGCUAUAAGUAGCUUUGCUAUUUGUCAGAUUUACUAGGUAUGGUUGUUUUUUAUUUUCCCAGAAUUGAAUCUUUUUUAAAUCUUGAUCUGCAUCAAACUUUCAAGAUUUAGGUUUCCUCUUUUUAAAAUUAACAAGAUUUAAUGUAAAAGAUCUGUAGUUAUGAACAAUUUAUCAAGUAAUGUGAG
Helianthus annuus (common sunflower) is the source of this 1829-nucleotide long non-coding RNA. RefSeq lists it as uncharacterized. The record is from RefSeq and is a predicted model, not a curated record. Lineage: Eukaryota; Viridiplantae; Streptophyta; Magnoliopsida; Asterales; Asteraceae. The transcript is spliced from 8 exons.